AGAGUUUGAUCCUGGCUCAGGAUGAACGCUGGCGGCGUGCUUAACACAUGCAAGUCGAACGAACCUUCGGGUUAGUGGCGGACGGGUGAGUAACGCGUGGGAAUCUGCCCUCAGGAGGGGGAUAACGGCUGGAAACGGCCGCUAAUACCCCAUAUGUCGAGAGGUGAAAAGAAAUUCGCCUGAGGAUGAGCCCGCGUCUGAUUAGCUAGUUGGUGGGGUAAGAGCUCACCAAGGCGACGAUCAGUAGCUGGUCUGAGAGGAUGAUCAGCCACACUGGGACUGAGACACGGCCCAGACUCCUACGGGAGGCAGCAGUGGGGAAUUUUCCGCAAUGGGCGAAAGCCUGACGGAGCAACGCCGCGUGAGGGAUGAAGGCCUCUGGGCUGUAAACCUCUUUUCUCAAGGAAGAAGACAUGACGGUACUUGAGGAAUAAGCCACGGCUAAUUCCGUGCCAGCAGCCGCGGUAAUACGGGAGUGGCAAGCGUUAUCCGGAAUUAUUGGGCGUAAAGCGUCCGCAGGCGGCCCUGUAAGUCUGUCGUUAAAGCGUGGAGCUUAACUCCAUUUAAGCGAUGGAAACUACAGGGCUUGAGUGUGGUAGGGGCAGAGGGAAUUCCCGGUGUAGCGGUGAAAUGCGUAGAUAUCGGGAAGAACACCAGUGGCGAAGGCGCUCUGCUGGGCCAUAACUGACGCUCAUGGACGAAAGCCAGGGGAGCGAAAGGGAUUAGAUACCCCUGUAGUCCUGGCCGUAAACGAUGAACACUAGGUGUCGGGGGAAUCGACCCCCUCGGUGUCGUAGCCAACGCGUUAAGUGUUCCGCCUGGGGAGUACGCACGCAAGUGUGAAACUCAAAGGAAUUGACGGGGGCCCGCACAAGCGGUGGAGUAUGUGGUUUAAUUCGAUGCAACGCGAAGAACCUUACCAGGGUUUGACAUCCUGCGAAUCCCUUGGAAACGAGGGAGUGCCUUCGGGAGCGCAGAGACAGGUGGUGCAUGGCUGUCGUCAGCUCGUGUCGUGAGAUGUUGGGUUAAGUCCCGCAACGAGCGCAACCCACGUCUUUAGUUGCCAGCAUUCAGUUGGGCACUCUAGAGAGACCGCCGGUGAUAAACCGGAGGAAGGUGUGGAUGACGUCAAGUCAUCAUGCCCCUUACAUCCUGGGCUACACACGUACUACAAUGCUACGGACAAAGGGCAGCAAGCUCGCGAGAGUUAGCAAAUCCCAUAAACCGUGGCUCAGUUCAGAUCGUAGGCUGCAACUCGCCUACGUGAAGGAGGAAUCGCUAGUAAUCGCAGGUCAGCAUACUGCGGUGAAUACGUUCCCGGGCCUUGUACACACCGCCCGUCACACCAUGGAAGUUGGCCAUGCCCGAAGUCGUUACUCCAACCC
Molecule: ribosomal RNA, 1385 nt
Filed under: metagenome
Description: bacterial SSU rRNA
Rfam family: Bacterial small subunit ribosomal RNA
Source: RNAcentral